GACGAACGCUGGCGGCGUGCUUAACACAUGCAAGUCGAACGGAAAGGCCCUGCUUUUGUGGGGUGCUCGAGUGGCGAACGGGUGAGUAACACGUGAGUAACCUGCCCUUGACUUUGGGAUAACUUCAGGAAACUGGGGCUCAUACCGGAUAGGAGCUCCUGCUGCAUGGUGGGGGUUGGAAAGUUUCGGCGGUUGGGGAUGGACUCGCGGCUUAUCCGCUUGUUGGUGGGGUAGUGGCUUACCAAGGCUUUGACGGGUAGCCGGCCUGAGAGGGUGACCGGCCACAUUGGGACUGAGGUACGGCCCAGACUCCUACGGGAGGCAGCAGUGGGGAAUAUUGCACAAUGGGCGGAAGCCUGAUGCAGCAACGCCGCGUGCGGGAUGACGGCCUUCGGGUUGUAAACCGCUUUCGCCUGUGACGAAGCGUGAGUGACGGUAAUGGGUAAAGAAGCACCGGCUAACUACGUG
Molecule: ribosomal RNA, 468 nt
Filed under: uncultured bacterium
Lineage: Bacteria
Description: partial 16S ribosomal RNA
Rfam family: Bacterial small subunit ribosomal RNA
Source: RNAcentral